RNAcentral lists this ribosomal RNA (771 nucleotides) under uncultured Clostridia bacterium. RNAcentral's name for it is "bacterial SSU rRNA". It matches the Rfam family "Bacterial small subunit ribosomal RNA", at positions 62 to 833 of the family's 1533-position model. Lineage: Bacteria; Bacillati; Bacillota; Clostridia. The record is from RNAcentral.
UCGAGCGAUGAAAUCUUGACAGAACCCUUCGGGGUGAAGAUAAGAUGGAUUAGCGGCGGACGGGUGAGUAACACGUGAGUAACCUGCCUUAGACAUUGGGAUAGCCUCGGGAAACCGGGAUUAAUACCAAAUGAAAUCACAUAUGCACAUGCAUAAAUGAUCAAAGCUCCGGCGGUCUAAGAUGGACUCGCGUCCCAUUAGCUAGUUGGUGAGGUAACGGCCCACCAAGGCGACGAUGGGUAGCCGGCCUGAGAGGGUGAACGGCCACAUUGGAACUGAGAAACGGUCCAAACUCCUACGGGAGGCAGCAGUGGGGAAUAUUGCACAAUGGAGGGAACUCUGAUGCAGCGACGCCGCGUGAACGAAGAAGGCUUUCGAGUCGUAAAGUUCUUUUAUGUGGGAAGAUAAUGACGGUACCAUAAGAAAAAGCCCCGGCUAACUACGUGCCAGCAGCCGCGGUAAUACGUAGGGGGCUAGCGUUGUCCGGAAUCACUGGGCGUAAAGGGUUCGCAGGCGGAAAUGCAAGUCAGGUGUAAAAGGCAGUAGCUUAACUACUGUAAGCAUUUGAAACUGCAUAUCUUGAGAAGAGUAGAGGUAAGUGGAAUUUUUAGUGUAGCGGUGAAAUGCGUAGAUAUUAAAAAGAAUACCGGUGGCGAAGGCGACUUACUGGGCUCAUUCUGACGCUGAGGAACGAAAGCGUGGGUAGCAAACAGGAUUAGAUACCCUGGUAGUCCACGCUGUAAACGAUGAGUGCUAGGUAUCGGAAUAAUU